Molecule: small RNA, 130 nt
Filed under: uncultured Anaerosacchariphilus sp.
Lineage: Bacteria; Bacillati; Bacillota; Clostridia; Lachnospirales; Lachnospiraceae
Description: HNH endonuclease-associated RNA and ORF (HEARO) RNA
Rfam family: HNH endonuclease-associated RNA and ORF (HEARO) RNA
Source: RNAcentral
GUCAAUAUCCCCACGGCUAAAGCCGGGGGCUUACAAAAGCCCUGAUUGACUACCCUAAGCACCCUGAGUGCUACGUUACCCAGGAAUAGAUAGACACCGGUGGAUGUGUAGUCCUAGUCUGCCGCUCUGU